CUACGGGCCGCACCAGUGGGGAAUAUUGCACAAUGGAGGAAACUCUGAUGCAGCAACGCCGCGUGGAGGAUGACACUUUUCGGAGCGUAAACUCCUUUUAUAUAGGAAGAAGAUGACGGUACUAUAUGAAUAAGCGCCGGCCAACUCCGUGCCAGCAGCCGCGGUAAUACGGAGGGCGCAAGCGUUACUCGGAAUCACUGGGCGUAAAGAGCGUGUAGGCGGAUUAAAAAGUCAGAAGUGAAAUCCUAUAGCUUAACUAUAGAACUGCUUCUGAAACUCUUAAUCUAGAAUAUGGGAGAGGUAGAUGGAAUUUCUGGUGUAGGGGUAAAAUCCGUAGAGAUCAGAAGGAAUACCGAUUGCGAAGGCGAUCUACUAGAACAUUAUUGACGCUGAGACGCGAAAGCGUGGGGAGCAAACAGGAUUAGAUACCCGAGUAGUC
This 439-nucleotide ribosomal RNA is filed under the name uncultured bacterium. Its description in RNAcentral is "partial 16S ribosomal RNA". It matches the Rfam family "Bacterial small subunit ribosomal RNA", at positions 339 to 795 of the family's 1533-position model. The record is from RNAcentral.